AGCCCCGUCGUCUAGCGGUCAAGGACGCAGAAUUUAGCAGCCUGAGACGGCGGUUCGAAUCCGCCCGGGGCUA
Molecule: transfer RNA, 73 nt
Rfam family: tRNA
About the family: Transfer RNA (tRNA) molecules are approximately 80 nucleotides in length. Their secondary structure includes four short double-helical elements and three loops (D, anti-codon, and T loops). Further hydrogen bonds mediate the characteristic L-shaped molecular structure. tRNAs have two regions of fundamental functional importance: the anti-codon, which is responsible for specific mRNA codon recognition, and the 3' end, to which the tRNAs corresponding amino acid is attached (by aminoacyl-tRNA synthetases). tRNAs cope with the degeneracy of the genetic code in two manners: having more than one tRNA (with a specific anti-codon) for a particular amino acid; and 'wobble' base-pairing, i.e. permitting non-standard base-pairing at the 3rd anti-codon position.